Long non-coding RNA from Patella vulgata (common limpet), 910 nucleotides. RefSeq lists it as uncharacterized. Lineage: Eukaryota; Metazoa; Mollusca; Gastropoda; Patellidae. The record is from RefSeq and is a predicted model, not a curated record. The transcript is spliced from 4 exons.
CGAUAGAGUUCACUGCAUGUAACACCGAGUUUAGGAAAAUGUUGUAUUCAGAUCAAACUACUGAGAAGGUCGAGAUCAUACGAAAACGAUACUUCGCUAUUACCAAAUUCGCAAAACAAGUAGACGAUUUCCUGAAUCCAUAUGUAGUACUGGAAAUUGGUGUAUCCUUUACAGGAGUGUGUUUGUAUAUACAUGCUCUAGCCUACGGUAAUACCAGUCUUGUAAUCUUCCUUGUCUGGGUUGGAAUGCUGUUUUUAGCUACGUCGGAAAUGCUGCUAGUUUUAAAAUUUGGAGUAGCAUUAAAUGAAAGUACAAAACUGUGUUUAGAGACGACCCAAUAUGUGGAUGGGAGCAAAAUGAAUCAGGAAACAAUUUCUCUGGUCACCUUGUUUAUAGAAAACAUGAGAAGUGGAGAUGUCGGUCUGACUUUCAUGAAAUUAUUUAUUCUCGAUAAAACUACCAUGGUAACGGUGUUCGGGACGUUGGUCUCAUAUAUAAUAGUUAUCAUGCAGUUUAAACCAAGUUAAAGUACUGGUAUUUUUUGUCUCUUUAAAGCCUCGAUAUGCCAUUUUAGCGGUAUAGGAAACAAUGUUGUAAAAGAUGAAUCUCUAUUAGAAACAACAGUCUAAGAAUGGAUCAAUUUUGUUCUGUGCUGCCUUGAUAUGUAAUAAGUCCGUCGUCAUUUUGUUGCCCUCUUGACAUUUAUUGGCAGGCCUGUUUUAAAUCCGAUCGAAUCCAAACCGGAACAUCAUCUAGCGUUAUUAUUUGAUUUUGUUGUUUUAAUCAUAUACUACACAAUUCAAGCCGUGACAUCAUCUAGCGUUAGUAUUUGAUUAUUUUCUCUUAAUCAUAUAUUAAAUAAUAAACCUGAGUACAUAAUAUCAUUGAUUAGGACUUUAGACAUCUUCAU